RNAcentral lists this ribosomal RNA (253 nucleotides) under uncultured bacterium. RNAcentral's name for it is "partial 16S ribosomal RNA". It matches the Rfam family "Bacterial small subunit ribosomal RNA", at positions 524 to 776 of the family's 1533-position model. The record is from RNAcentral.
UACGUAGGGUCCGAGCGUUGUCCGGAAUUACUGGGCGUAAAGGGCUCGUAGGCGGCCAACUAAGUCAGACGUGAAAUCCCUCAGCUUAACUGGGGAACUGCGUCUGAUACUGGAUGGCUUGGAUUCGGGAGAGGAAUGCGGAAUUCCAGGUGUAGCGGUGAAAUGCGUAGAUAUCUGGAGGAACACCGGUGGCGAAGGCGGCAUUCUGGACCGAUAUUGACGCUGAGGAGCGAAAGCCAGGGGAGCAAACGGG